UUAGCCGUGGCUUAUUCGCGAGGUACCGUCAGAUCUUCUUCCCUCGCAAAAGGGGUUUACAACCCUAGAGCCUUCAUCCCCCACGCGGCGUUGCUCCGUCAGGCUUUCGCCCAUUGCGGAAAAUUCCUUG
This 130-nucleotide ribosomal RNA is filed under the name uncultured bacterium. Its description in RNAcentral is "partial 16S ribosomal RNA". The record is from RNAcentral.